RNAcentral lists this ribosomal RNA (433 nucleotides) under uncultured bacterium. RNAcentral's name for it is "partial 16S ribosomal RNA". It matches the Rfam family "Bacterial small subunit ribosomal RNA", at positions 29 to 507 of the family's 1533-position model. The record is from RNAcentral.
AACGAACGCUGGCGGCAUGCCUAACACAUGCAAGUCGAACGAGACCUUCGGGUCUAGUGGCGCACGGGUGCGUAACGCGUGGGAACCUGCCCUUAGGUUCGGAAUAACUCCCCGAAAGGGGUGCUAAUACCGGAUAAUGUCUUCGGACCAAAAAUUUAUCGCCUUUGGAUGGGCCCGCGUUGGAUUAGCUAGUUGGUAGGGUAAAAGCCUACCAAGGCGACGAUCCAUAGCUGGUCUGAGAGGAUGAUCAGCCACACUGGGACUGAGACACGGCCCAGACUCCUACGGGAGGCAGCAGUGGGGAAUAUUGGACAAUGGGCGAAAGCCUGAUCCAGCAAUGCCGCGUGAGUGAUGAAGGCCUUAGGGUUGUAAAGCUCGUUUACCCGGGAGGAUAAUGACAGUACCGGGAGAAUAAGCUCCGGCUAACUCCGUG